CCCUGCGGCCUUCCCUUUGCCCCAAAGCCUGACUUGGAGUGUUUGGUGAGCACACCUGCUAGCUACUGGUGUGAACCAGAAACCAAAUGCCCUGGUAGAAGUGUGGAGUUUUGUGCACACACACUUGAUAUUGUGUGUGUUUCAGCUUUAAAGCUCUGGUUGUAGCCCUGAAGUGCACUGUGUGAUUGGUGACCAGGAGCAGCGGUUUCAGGUGAGGGGAGCAGUGAGCAGCAGCGGUGGCCGUGCUCAGGAAUCAAUAAGGUGAUUUAACCCCCAAUUCCAACCCUUGAUGCUGAGUGCCAAGCAGGGAGGCUCUUCUUCCCGUUCUCCUUGAUGGUUUCGUGCCCGUCGGGGACCAGCUUGGCUUCACCCCGGAAAGUGGACGCCUCCUCCCGCAUCCACCUGAGCAAACCCUCGGGGGUCUUCCGGCCGAGUUUCGCCUCUAUGUCUCUCAGAUCCGGCGUGUUCUCACAAGCAGCGCCUUCGUCCAUCAUGGUCAUGGGUUGAUAACACAGACGGAUUUUCUCCGGUGUUUUUCUUAGAAAAUGUUUUACUUAUUCCUGACGGCGUGACGUGUGUCGUCACAUGGCAGCCCAGCUGAGGCGGACUGCACCAGCCCAGAAAAAACAAACAGUCAGCAUCCAACAACGCAGGAAGAUAUAACGGAACGGGAACCGUGUGCUACGUGUGGGGUUGCUGAGUAAAUGAAGUGAAGUCUAGCGGUAUUAGUGCGUCUCCAGGCUCCGUGUGACACCGAAGCAGGCCGAGGAGGAGAAGUGAACCCGGCUGCGAGCCCCCAAACAGCGUCUCCACUGCGCACAUUCCACCUGCAUGAUGACAGCUUGCAGCCGCCGCAGAGAAGUAAAAAGCCCAGACUGACCAGAUAGCGUAUGACACCGCACAGCUUCCGGGAAAAGCAUUUCAAAGUUAAACACCGAAAGGACGGCACGUAUACGAACUAGCAAAAUAAAACACCCACAAUCUAAAAAGGGAAACAGAGUUGACGAUUUCGCGUUUAACAAAAGAUUUGAACAAAUUGUUUGAUCCGUUUGGAGAUUACUCGUAUUUGCCACACACUGCCAGUGAGUUUUGGUAUUGGAAAAAAAUAUUGAUAUUGUCAAAUGUUGACUUGAAGAUAAAUCACAUUUAAACAAACAA
Molecule: long non-coding RNA, 1158 nt
Organism: Nerophis lumbriciformis (worm pipefish)
Lineage: Eukaryota; Metazoa; Chordata; Actinopteri; Syngnathiformes; Syngnathidae
Source: RefSeq, a predicted model, not a curated record